Non-coding RNA from Pelobates cultripes (western spadefoot toad), 106 nucleotides. Lineage: Eukaryota; Metazoa; Chordata; Amphibia; Anura; Pelobatidae. The record is from the annotation of a GenBank genome assembly.
CAGAGUGUGUGUGUUUGUAUAGUGUGUGUAUAUAAUGCAGUGUGUUUGUGUAGUGUGCAUGAUAUAAACACACUGCAUUAUAUACACACACUACACAAACACACUG